ACAACAAUAAAAGCGCCAGCACAAGUUGAUAAUUUAACUGAACACAUGAUCUUAAUAGCAGAAGAUUAUUGUGGUUAAUGAUUCACUUGUAGACGAGGAGGAUAGUGAUCGAAUUAGUUCGGCGGAUGCUAUCCCGGAUGUGGCUCAUUCGUUAGCUUAUUAAUUAAAGCGAGAAGGUGACUUUUCGGACAAAGUUAAUAAGAUCGCCAAAC
Molecule: non-coding RNA, 212 nt
Filed under: Staphylococcus hyicus
Lineage: Bacteria; Bacillati; Bacillota; Bacilli; Caryophanales; Staphylococcaceae
Description: GlcN6P sequence
Rfam family: glmS glucosamine-6-phosphate activated ribozyme aptamer
About the family: This entry contains a glucosamine-6-phosphate activated ribozyme that is found in the mRNA for GlmS. GlmS is an enzyme that uses fructose-6-phosphate and glutamine to generate glucosamine-6-phosphate. The ribozyme catalyses self cleavage of the glmS mRNA that is thought to regulate GlmS activity.
Source: RNAcentral